GUUUCCUACGGGGGGCAGCAGUGGGGAAUAUUGCACAAUGGGGGAAACCCUGAUGCAGCGAUGCCGCGUGGAGGAAGAAGGUUUUCGGAUUGUAAACUCCUUUUAUCAGGGACGAUAAUGACGGUACCUGAAGAAAAAGCUCCGGCUAACUACGUGCCAGCAGCCGCGGUAAUACGUAGGGGGCAAGCGUUAUCCGGAUUUACUGGGUGUAAAGGGAGCGUAGACGGCAGCGCAAGUCUGGAGUGAAAUGCCGGGGCCCAACCCCGGAACUGCUUUGGAAACUGUGCAGCUCGAGUGCAGGAGAG
RNAcentral lists this ribosomal RNA (305 nucleotides) under uncultured bacterium. RNAcentral's name for it is "bacterial SSU rRNA". It matches the Rfam family "Bacterial small subunit ribosomal RNA", at positions 334 to 656 of the family's 1533-position model. The record is from RNAcentral.